CGGCGGACGGGUGAGUAACACGUGGAUAACCUACCUAUAAGACUGGGAUAACUUCGGGAAACCGGAGCUAAUACCGGAUAAUAUAUUGAACCGCAUGGUUCAAUAGUGAAAGACGGUUUUGCUGUCACUUAUAGAUGGAUCCGCGCUGCAUUAGCUAGUUGGUAAGGUAACGGCUUACCAAGGCAACGAUGCGUAGCCGACCUGAGAGGGUGAUCGGCCACACUGGAACUGAGACACGGUCCAGACUCCUACGGGGGCAGCAGGC
Molecule: ribosomal RNA, 265 nt
Filed under: uncultured Staphylococcus sp.
Lineage: Bacteria; Bacillati; Bacillota; Bacilli; Caryophanales; Staphylococcaceae
Description: partial 16S ribosomal RNA
Rfam family: Bacterial small subunit ribosomal RNA
Source: RNAcentral